RNAcentral lists this transfer RNA (59 nucleotides) under Batracomorphus fuscomaculatus. RNAcentral describes it as "tRNA-Gly". The record is from RNAcentral. Lineage: Eukaryota; Metazoa; Arthropoda; Insecta; Hemiptera; Cicadellidae.
AUUCAUUUAGUAUAAAAAGUAUAUAAAGAUUCCAACUUUAAGGUUUUCAAAAAUGAAUA